ACUCAAAUGAAUUGACGGGGGAGCGCACAACCGGUGGAGCAUGUGAUUUAAUUCGACACAAAGCGAAAGACCUUACCCGGGUUUGACAUGUAUCUGCACGUACUGGGAAACCAGUAUUUCUUCGAGAGUGAUACACAGGUGUUGCAUGGCUGUCGUCAGCUCGUGUCGUGGGACGUCCGCUUAAGUGCGGUAACGAGCGCAACCCCUAUCUUAUGUUGUAUUUUCAUAAGAGACUGCCCCGUUUCAGCGGGGAGGAAGGAGGGGACGACGUCAAGUCAGCACGACCCUUACAUCCGGGGCCAUACACAUCCUACAAUGGGAAAGACAACGGGUCGCGACGGAGUAAUCCUGAGCUAAUCCUUAUAAACUUUCCCUCAGUUCAGAUCGAGGGCUGCAACUCGCCCUCGUGAAGUCGGAAUCGGUAGUAAUCGCGGGUCAGCAGACCGCGGUGAAUACGUUCUCGCUCCUUGUACACACCGCCCGU
This 484-nucleotide ribosomal RNA is filed under the name uncultured bacterium. Its description in RNAcentral is "partial 16S ribosomal RNA". It matches the Rfam family "Bacterial small subunit ribosomal RNA", at positions 899 to 1397 of the family's 1533-position model. The record is from RNAcentral.